This 216-nucleotide ribosomal RNA is filed under the name Triticum aestivum (bread wheat). RNAcentral's name for it is "partial small subunit ribosomal RNA". The record is from RNAcentral. Lineage: Eukaryota; Viridiplantae; Streptophyta; Magnoliopsida; Poales; Poaceae.
AUGACUUGCAACCCCAAUUGGGAUGAAAUAAUUAGUGAGCUAGAGCCUGGACAAACUCCACAGGAUCGUCCUGAUCUCAUUGUAAGAGUAUUUCGAGCAAAGUUGGAAGACCUCAAGGUACAACUUUUUAAAAGGCACAUUCUUGGUAAGGUGGCAGCAUAUGUAUAUGUCGUUAGUUCCAUAAAAGAGGUCUACCACAUGCUCAUUUCCUCCUAA